CAACCCCUCAAGCUCAGCUUGGUGUUGGGGCCUGCCGCGCUGGCAGCCCUUAAAAUCAGUGGCGGUGCCAUCUGGCUCUAAGCGUAGUAAUUCUUCUCGCUACAGGGUCCUGGUGAGCGCUUGCCAUCAAGCCUAUACUUUCUAU
RNAcentral lists this unclassified non-coding RNA (145 nucleotides) under uncultured Helotiales. Its description in RNAcentral is "sequence contains ITS2". The record is from RNAcentral. Lineage: Eukaryota; Fungi; Ascomycota; Leotiomycetes; Helotiales.